UAUGAACUCGAUAUUGUUAUUUAGAAAGAUUAAAAAAAAAAAAAGAAAAAGUGGAAUGAAGCAUGAAUUGUCCGAAGUAUUUAUCUGUACUGACAUGCAUAAUGCAUCAAGUAUCUCGUUAGACUUUUUAUCUCUGAGGGAUAUUUGUUCCCCUAUCCCCAUCUAGGGUAUCUGUGUCCCCCUCCCCAUCUGGUCUUGAAAGACGUUAGAGAACCACUCCCUGUGGAUGACGGUGUACCUUCUGACGAGAGUGGUAACGUAAAUAUAUAUUAGGGGUCACAUUUACCUAAGUACUAUCGUGACUGUAGAUAUUUG
This 315-nucleotide long non-coding RNA is filed under the name Carica papaya (papaya). Its description in RNAcentral is "long non-coding RNA (CPAP_LNC002841)". Lineage: Eukaryota; Viridiplantae; Streptophyta; Magnoliopsida; Brassicales; Caricaceae. The record is from RNAcentral.